UUUAGUUUUUCUUCGUUGAUGUGGCUUAUUUUUUAUUUUUCUUCAUCAAUUUUGUCCUUAAUGAUUAAAAAAAAAAGGUGCUUAUUAUUUAAUCUUCACGAACCUUUAAACGCGUAUAUAAAUUUCUCUCAAUAAUUCUUAUUGUUAAAUAAAUUAAGAUUGACAAAAAUAAGGGAUAAAAAUGUGAAAGAAGUAUAAACUAAUGCACGUUGAGUUAAUAUAUUAUUUUUGGCAAGACGAACUCCUAAAUAUGUAUCUAAUUUUUAAAUCUCUCCUAAUAAUUUUCACCAUUAAAUAAGCUUAAGGUUGACAAAAAUAAUAGAUAAAAAUAAGGAAAAAGACAUAAAUUAAUGAAAAUGAGUUAAUAGAUUGUUGGUGGGCCAAAUUGGGCAGCACAUUAGCCAACAACAGGCUUCCACGCUCCUUUGCGGAGGUGUUCCACACGCACCUUGCCAACUCAGCAAAAGGUGUCAAAAUGACACACUUUAAGGCCACUUGAGGUGCCAAAAUGAACCAAUGUCCACUUGAGGUGCCUAAGUGAAAGAUGACGUGUCUGGCGAUGAGUUUUGCCGAAAGAUUUCAAAGCUUGCAAGGAUGUUAAACUUCAACAUCUAUGCAUCAUUAAGUCAUCUUUAUCUGUUACAUCUUUAUCUGUUACUAAACUCUUUAAUUACAUUGUCGUUGACCAUAAGAUGUUGUUUACAUGUCUGGAGAUAUGCACUACAAAUCUGUGUGUGUGUGUGUGUUCUGGCAAACGGUAUUGGAAGUUGUUGAACUAGAGUAUAAUGUGAUUUCUUGAUGUAUGGUCCAUUCUUCUGCUAUUACAAGCUUAAUAAUCAUCCUUAUUCUACUUAACAGCUGGAUUAAUGAUAAAGAGUGAACAAAGGGAAGAGCGGACUUAUUUCAGAAAUUAGGAAUCCAGCAGAGCAGAUAGAUUCAAGAUCAGCCCGUGAUAACUUAUGAGACCAACAAGCAUUUAUCUGUCCAUCAAAUCCACAAUUUGACUGCAUACCGGAUGCUGAUAUGCCUUUCACAUAUUCCUGGCACACCCCAAAAAUAAGAGGGGGGAAAAACCAAGCAAAAAAGACCAGAGCAUGAGAAUCAACAAAAAGCUCUUCAUUCAAUACAAGUAUAUGACGAGAAACAGACGGGAAACAUAGUGUUUAAGGUAUAACAUUAAUUUGGUUAGCAUCUUUUGAUACAAUUUGCACUCAUAAAUAUUACAGGAUCUUAUUCGUUGGCGAGUAUGUAUCUGUUCAAAAAAAUUUGUUCUAUCUCACAUGAUGUUGUCAGUAAAUAUCUUUUCUCGAUCAAGUAAAGUAAUAGAAUUUUAUUGAUAACGGAAAAGCAUUUGUACGGAACCAUCAAUCAGUUAUGUCUAAGUUCCAAACUAGCUGGGAUCACUUUAUAGAAAUCAUAUCAAUUAAAAGAAAUUCAAAUGACUCACGACAUUCACGGCCAAUUUAACAUGACCUUUUGUUUGAUCCUAUAUCAUCAAUUGGGUUCCUUUGAGCCGAGGGUCUAUCCAGAAACAGCCUCUCUACCUCUGCGGUAGGGGCAGGCCGGCGCACUAAAGCUCGCGCUAUGCGCAGGUAUGUUUUUAUUGUUGUUGUUACUCUUGUUUUAUCAUCAAUUGGGGUGCAGUUGAAUUGAAUAAAUGUUUAGGCUACAUCACCAAUAGACUAAGAUAUAGUGAUCACAUUACUCAUUUUCUACUGUAAUUAUUGUCCCUUCAUCAAUCUUCCAAUUUUACAGACUCACAAUUUUCAGAUACUUGAAUGGGUGCAUUACUCAACCUUUUAUAGAAACCCACCGAACUAAGGUACUUUUUUUCUCGAUUUAUUUUUCCCAUAAGAGCUGUUCAACACACUGUUUUUCACCCUCUCACCUCCUUUGGAAUUUGGAUAAGUACCACUCUCUCUUCUUAUACCACAUUAUCCAUCUCAACAGACUCAUCCAAGCCAUCUAUAACUCUUCGGAAGUUGCUUCUAUGUUUCAAAGACAGCAUAAUAUUGCUUAAUCACGCAUAAUGUUACCUCCCAUCCCUUGAACGGUAUUAUUCCGAAAUACCUAAUUUCCUUCAAUUUUAUCAGUAAACGGAUUUCUGACAACAUUCAGUGCUCAGGUCGCUGUUAAACAAAAAUGUCUUUCCACAUACAUUUUAACUAUGCAAACACGACUUUUUAUUUAUUUCUCAGAUCAACCGUUUGCGUCUUCUAGGCUGCCAAGUAGAAAAACAUUGUGGAAUUAGGAACUACUCAAUCAAAUGAUCGUACUGCCUAUCGAAGCAGCAGACUGGCCAAUAGCAUUUCACUGGAUUAAGAGGGGUCUCUCCAGGCCUUUCCAGAGCAAAGGAGAGUAGACUACCUAAUCUACAAAUAUACAUGGAAUUGCUACUAAAGAAGAACAAAAACAGUAUCCUCGCCGUUCUCAUACACAAACUGGAACAUCUCUCUCUCUCUCUCUCACACACACACACACAGAGAGAGAGAGAGAGAGCGAUGGACAAGAUGAGGUUUUACAGAAGGCGAAAUCUUUGUAUUUCCUAUUAGAAUAAGAGAAAAUGGCAACGUGCCUCAUUGCCUAUAUAUGCUGAUGGGUACAUUCUUAAUUAGUAUGUACCAGCACCUUAUUCUUAUUUGGAUAACUAUGUUACUGAUAUCAUUUUAUAAGCACCAAACAACUAUAUGCUGCCGUGAGGCCCGGGGAUUAUAUAUCAUCCAGGCAGUAACUCAUGGGACAAUCACCCAUAACAUCAUGCACUUACAGCUAGUUUGUAAAUCUCACCAGCAAAUGUUAUUUGAAAAGGUAAACUGUACAAUUGAGGUGAAAGGAUGAAUGCUGCAUCUGUUGUUCAAGCCUAAAUGAUGAUCUGCCUAGUGUAAACAAGACUUCAGGAGAGAAUAGAGACAACGAGAUGGAAUUUCCAUUUUCAUUUUUAGAUACUCAUAGCCCGUAGGUAACAGUGAGCAACAAAGUGUUGCUCUAAUCAAUUUGAUCACAUUUUUAUUUCAGAAAUAAACUAGUACUAUCCCGUCAAAAAAGAAUCAAACAACUAUUAAAUUGCAAAGAAUUCCAAGUUCAGGCAAGGUUAUACAAGCUCAAAGCACCACUACACCAGAAGUCUAACCAAAAAGUAACUUCUAGACUAUACACAAGCAAAAGUGCAUCGACAUGUAAUCCCCCACGGAGAAACAAUAUUCUUCCAGUGUUUUGCUCAAGACCACAUAUUAAAGGUUA
Long non-coding RNA from Capsicum annuum, 3240 nucleotides. RefSeq lists it as uncharacterized. Lineage: Eukaryota; Viridiplantae; Streptophyta; Magnoliopsida; Solanales; Solanaceae. The transcript is spliced from 3 exons. The record is from RefSeq and is a predicted model, not a curated record.